CUAUGGAUUUAUGAGAAUUGAUUUGAAGAAGAGAACUCUAGAUCUUGAUAGCAUUAGAGCUGCUAGGAUGGUAAGAGAAAAGCUAAAGUCAAGCGGACCUGUGUUGGGUGCAUAUGAUCAGUAUACCGGUAAAUCAACCGACGAUGCCAUAGUACCUUUGAAGGAUUAUUUGAAUGCACAAUAUUAUGGAGAGAUUGGAAUUGGCACACCCCCACAGACAUUUAAUGUCAUAUUUGAUACCGGAAGUUCGAACCUUUGGGUUCCAUCGUCAAAGU
This 275-nucleotide long non-coding RNA is filed under the name Medicago truncatula (barrel medic). Its description in RNAcentral is "long non-coding RNA (MTRU_LNC006332)". Lineage: Eukaryota; Viridiplantae; Streptophyta; Magnoliopsida; Fabales; Fabaceae. The record is from RNAcentral.